RNAcentral lists this non-coding RNA (30 nucleotides) under Mus musculus (house mouse). The record is from RNAcentral. Lineage: Eukaryota; Metazoa; Chordata; Mammalia; Rodentia; Muridae.
GAUUAAGUCAUCUCUAUAGUUUGCCUCCUU